CGGGGUGAGUAAUGUAUGGGGAUCUGCCUGAUGGCGGGGGAUAACUACUGGAAACGGUAGCUAAUACCGCAUAAUGUCUACGGACCAAAGCGGGGGACCUCCGGGCCUCGCGCCAUCAGAUGAACCCAUGUGGGAUUAGCUAGUAGGUGAGGUAACGGCUUACCUAGGCGACGAUCCCUAGCUGGUCUGAGAGGAUGAUCAGCCACACUGGGACUGAGACACGGCCCAG
This 229-nucleotide ribosomal RNA is filed under the name uncultured bacterium. RNAcentral describes it as "partial 16S ribosomal RNA". It matches the Rfam family "Bacterial small subunit ribosomal RNA", at positions 104 to 334 of the family's 1533-position model. The record is from RNAcentral.